AGGAGGGCCAGUCGGGCCCGAUUGUCGACGACUUCUACCAUCGGAAGGAGCAGGAGCGCCAGGCCGUGAAGAUGAUGCGCACGGCCGAGGGCGGCAAGGCAGGAGGCUACAACGACCG
This 118-nucleotide non-coding RNA is filed under the name Kryptoperidinium triquetrum. Lineage: Eukaryota; Dinophyceae; Peridiniales; Kryptoperidiniaceae. The record is from RNAcentral.